RNAcentral lists this ribosomal RNA (253 nucleotides) under uncultured bacterium. RNAcentral describes it as "partial 16S ribosomal RNA". It matches the Rfam family "Bacterial small subunit ribosomal RNA", at positions 524 to 776 of the family's 1533-position model. The record is from RNAcentral.
UACGUAGGGCGCAAGCGUUGUCCGGAAUUAUUGGGCGUAAAGAGCUCGUAGGUGGCUUGUCACGUCGGAUGUGAAAGCCCACAGCUUAACUGUGGGUCUGCAUUCGAUACGGGCUGGCUAGAGGUAGGUAGGGGCAAGCGGAAUUCCUGGUGUAGCGGUGAAAUGCGCAGAUAUCAGGAGGAACACCGGUGGCGAAGGCGGCUUGCUGGGCCUUACCUGACGCUGAGGAGCGAAAGCGUGGGGAGCGAACAGG